Molecule: ribosomal RNA, 207 nt
Filed under: Escherichia coli
Lineage: Bacteria; Pseudomonadati; Pseudomonadota; Gammaproteobacteria; Enterobacterales; Enterobacteriaceae
Description: partial 16S ribosomal RNA
Rfam family: Bacterial small subunit ribosomal RNA
Source: RNAcentral
UUAAUUGAAGAGUUUGAUCAUGGCUCAGAUUGAACGCUGGCGGCAGGCUUAACACAUGCAAGUCGAGCGGUAGCACAGGGGAGCUUGCUCUCUGGGUGACGAGCGGCGGACGGGUGAGUAAUGUCUGGGAAACUGCCUGAUGGAGGGGGAUAACUACUGGAAACGGUAGCUAAUACCGCAGAACGUCGCAAGACCAAAGAGGGGGAC